CGGGGUGUGGCGCAAUUGGUAGCGUGCCUGCUUUGGGAGCAGGAAGUUGCAGGUUCGAGCCCUGUCACCCCGA
Molecule: transfer RNA, 73 nt
Filed under: Nostocoides jenkinsii Ben 74
Lineage: Bacteria; Bacillati; Actinomycetota; Actinomycetes; Micrococcales; Intrasporangiaceae
Description: Tetrasphaera jenkinsii Ben 74 tRNA
Rfam family: tRNA
About the family: Transfer RNA (tRNA) molecules are approximately 80 nucleotides in length. Their secondary structure includes four short double-helical elements and three loops (D, anti-codon, and T loops).
Source: Rfam by way of RNAcentral